RNAcentral lists this long non-coding RNA (816 nucleotides) under Rattus norvegicus (Norway rat). RNAcentral describes it as "long non-coding RNA NONRATT032693". Lineage: Eukaryota; Metazoa; Chordata; Mammalia; Rodentia; Muridae. The record is from RNAcentral.
CACUGUUCCUUUUUUCCUCCUGGAGGUUGGAUGGUGGCUGCUGUUGUGGCAAAUGCUGGGCAAAGACUAAAGCUUUCUACAAUGUCCGAACCUCGAGGACUACAAAUGUUUCGAGCCCCGAACAUCAAAUCUUCCAUCUACUGCUGUCAGAUGUCUUGGGGAUUUUCAGAACUCUGAGGAUAGUAGUUUCCCAGGGGAUCUUAUCUCAAUGAAGUAAAAUUUUGAGGCUCCAAUGCUCCUGGACUUUCAGAGGUUUGGGGUAAGUCCCAGCUGCACGUUCAACCAGCUUCAGACCUCAGCAGUUUCUAGUUCUAGGAAUCCAAGUUUCUUCAUUGCUAAAGUGGGAAUAAUAGAACUUUGCUAACAAUCAGACUGUUGUGACAAGCAAGUGAGGUAAACAUCAAGGACUUUGGCACCGUGCCUGGCACAGACGAGACUUAAUGAGUGGUGGAUAUGUUUAUGGUUAUCACAGUAUUCUUAACAUUAAACCUCUGUACAGAAACCGAAAUAUUCUUACCACACGCUAAUCUAUUUUAAAUAAAUUGGUCUAGAGAAGAAAUUUCCUUAGUCCUGCCAACUCCAUCUGACGCAGCUCUGUAAGGAGUAAUCGUUUUGUAGGCGUGCUACAAAACAGAAAUAGAGUGUGAGUCUCAUGUGUAGCUUAAAAUGGCUACUAGCUGUUUCAACAGAAGCAAAGAAAACGUGAGAUUAAUCUCAACAUGCAUUUUUUUCUCUUAAAUUUAACUUGUUCUCAAUGAAAGUUGUGUUUAAGAAUCACUCUAAUCCCAAAUCAUCUCAGUGUGUCCCAUAGAGUGG